UGUAAAACGACGGCCAGUGGAAUUUGUAAAUACGACUCACUAUAGGGCGGAAUUGAAUUUUAGCGGCGGCGAAUUCGCCCUUAGAGUUUGAUCAUGGCUCAGAACGUACGCUGGCGGCACGCCUAACACAUGCAAGUCGAACGAAGUAGCAAUACUUAGUGGCAGACGGGUGAGUAACAUGUAGGUAUCUGCCCUUUGGCCUGGAAUAACACGAGGAAACUUGUGCUAAUACCGGAUAAGUCUUUACAGAGAAAGCUUUAUGCACCAUUGGAUGAGCCUGCACUUGAUUAGUUUGUUGGUAGGGUAAUGGCCUACCAAGACUGUGAUCAAUAGCUGAUUUGAGAGGAUGAUCAGCCACAUUGGGACUGAGACACGGCCCAAACUCCUACGGGAGGCAGCAGUGGGGAAUCUUGCACAAUGGAGGAAACUCUGAUGCAGCGAUGCCGCGUGAGUGAAGAAGGCCUUUGGGUUGUAAAGCUCUUUCGUCGGGGAAGAAAAUGACUGUACCCGAAUAAGAAGGUCCGGCUAACUUCGUGCCAGCAGCCGCGGUAAUACGAAGGGACCUAGCGUAGUUCGGAAUUACUGGGCUUAAAGAGUUCGUAGGUGGUUGAAAAAGUUGGUGGUGAAAUCCCAGAGCUUAACUCUGGAACUGCCAUCAAAACUUUUCAGCUAGAGUUUGAUAGAGGAAAGCAGAAUUUCUAGUGUAGAGGUGUAAUUCGUAGAUAUUAGAAAGAAUACCAAUUGCGAAGGCAGCUUUCUGGAUCAUUACUGACACUGAGGAACGAAAGCAUGGGUAGCGAAGAGGAUUAGAUACCCUCGUAGUCCAUGCCGUAAACGAUGUGUGUUAGACGUUGGAAAUUUAUUUUCAGUGUCGCAGCGAGAAGGCGAUAAAACACUUCCGGGUCCUU
Molecule: ribosomal RNA, 908 nt
Filed under: uncultured Alphaproteobacteria bacterium
Lineage: Bacteria; Pseudomonadati; Pseudomonadota; Alphaproteobacteria
Description: partial 16S ribosomal RNA
Rfam family: Bacterial small subunit ribosomal RNA
Source: RNAcentral